RNAcentral lists this long non-coding RNA (508 nucleotides) under Junco hyemalis (dark-eyed junco). RNAcentral describes it as "lncRNA (ENSJHYG00000012832.1)". The record is from RNAcentral. Lineage: Eukaryota; Metazoa; Chordata; Aves; Passeriformes; Passerellidae.
GGAAAUAGCAGGAUUUGUGGGGGUUUGUAGGAUUUCAGGCUCAGGCUUUGAGGCACUCAAGAGGACUGAGAUGCUACUAAAGUCAGAGCCUCUGUCACCAUUAAUGCCUCAAGUUGUUCUCCUUCUGCAUAGCUACAGGUGCAUGCUGGAGGCAGAAGCUGGGCUGGUGGAGCUUGGGAGCUGUGUCUGCAGCUGCCUCCAGGAACACCAACCAGUGCUGUGUGGCACCACUUUGCAAAUUGUGAAGUUUUCUCCUAUGACCAGAAGUGGAAUUUCAUCUCACUCAGCUUUCUCUUCCUUGGUGUUUGUGAUGCAGUUCCAGUGCUAUCCGUGGCAAAGCAGGAAGGUAAGAGAUAAGGGGAAUGUAUGUACAAUGUACAAUGUACAAUGUAAGAGUAAGGGGACUGUUACCAAGUCUUGUCGAAAUUAUAGAUUCCGACUUUGCAGAAAUGUAGACACAGGAAAAUGUGAAAACCCGGGAACUUUCCACCUCCUUUUUCAAAGUUAG